Long non-coding RNA from Xenopus laevis (African clawed frog), 268 nucleotides. RefSeq lists it as uncharacterized. The transcript is spliced from 2 exons. NCBI's taxonomy places the organism in Eukaryota, Metazoa, Chordata, Amphibia, Anura, Pipidae. The record is from RefSeq and is a predicted model, not a curated record.
UUUCCUGAGAAAGGGGGUGGUUUUCGUGAUGCCAGAUUUUUUUCCCCAUCUUGCGCUCCGUAGUUGUAAUGUGUUUAUGCGAUUCAGUGGAAGCUGGUGUUGUUAGCUGCAGGUACAGGACGAGAAUGGCGCAGAAUGUUCAGAACGUGACCCUGUCUCUGCCUCUCCCCAUAACGUGUCAUUUCUGUCUGGGAAAGAUAGUAUACAAGCAUCCUGUUUAAGGAAUUUGAACAAAAAAUACCUUUUCUACCCCAUUGUUCAUUAAAGG